GCCGGGCAUGGUGGCGCACGCCUGUAAUCCCAGCUACUCAGGAGGCUGAGGCAGGAGAAUCGCUUGAACCCAGGAAGCAGAGGUUGCAGUGAGCAGAGAUAGUGCCACUGCACUCCAGCCUGGGCAACAGAGUGAGACUCUGUCUCAA
Unclassified non-coding RNA from Pongo abelii (Sumatran orangutan), 148 nucleotides. It matches the Rfam family "Metazoan signal recognition particle RNA". Rfam says of the family: The signal recognition particle (SRP) is a universally conserved ribonucleoprotein. It is involved in the co-translational targeting of proteins to membranes. The eukaryotic SRP consists of a 300-nucleotide 7S RNA and six proteins: SRPs 72, 68, 54, 19, 14, and 9. Lineage: Eukaryota; Metazoa; Chordata; Mammalia; Primates; Hominidae. The record is from Ensembl.